This 253-nucleotide ribosomal RNA is filed under the name uncultured bacterium. RNAcentral's name for it is "partial 16S ribosomal RNA". It matches the Rfam family "Bacterial small subunit ribosomal RNA", at positions 524 to 776 of the family's 1533-position model. The record is from RNAcentral.
UACAGAGACUGCGAGCUUUAUUCGGAUUCACUGGGCGUAAAGGGUGCGCAGGCGGCCGUGUGUGUGAGGCGUGAAAGCCCGGGGCUUAACCCCGGAAUUGCACCUCAAACUACACGGCUAGAGCAUUGGAGAGGGUAGCGGAAUUCACGGUGUAGCAGUGAAAUGCGUAGAUAUCGUGAGGAACACCAGAGGCGAAGGCGGCUACCUGGACAAUUGCUGACGCUCAGGCACGAAAGCGUGGGGAGCAAACAGG